This 1460-nucleotide long non-coding RNA is filed under the name Lonchura striata (white-rumped munia). Its description in RNAcentral is "domestica (Bengalese finch) lncRNA (ENSLSDG00000003986.1)". The record is from RNAcentral. Lineage: Eukaryota; Metazoa; Chordata; Aves; Passeriformes; Estrildidae.
CCCAUUUUAUCCCAUUUUACCCCGGUUUAUCCCAUUUUAUCCCAUUUUAUCCCAUUUUAUCCCAUUUUAUCCCAUUUUACCCCGGUUUAUCCCAUUUUACCCCAUUUUAUCCCAUUUUAUCCCGUUUUUUCCCAUUUUUUCCCGUUUUUUCCCGUUUUUUCCCGUUUUUCCCGGUUUGGCCGCCGUACAUUCAGCGUUUGUCGCGGGUUUAUGGCUCAGGGCAGUGCAAAAACACCUCGGAAAUCUCAAUUUUCUUUUUAUUUUUUUGUGCUGUUGGGUUAAUUUUAUUUUUUUUUUAAUUUUUAUUUUUUUUUAUUCCUACUUUUUUUACCUUUUUUUAAAAUAUUUUUCAUUUUUUUCUCUUCCUCUCUCUCACCACAACUUCCCUUUGUCCAUUCAUUCCCUAGAAACAAAAAUUUGGUUUUUUGGGGUUUUUUUUCACCUUUUUUUUUGUUUUUUUUUUUUUCCUUUUUUUUGGGUUUUUUUUUCAGUUUUUUUUGUUUUUUUUUUUUUUCUUUCUUCCUCUCUUUUUCACAUCCCAACUGAAAAAAUAAACCCGACGCCGCUCUCCACCCCGUGGGACGCGAAAGGGAAUCCAAAAAUUUGGAUUUUUUAACAAAAAGUGCUUCUUACUUCAAGUGCUUUGGACCGAGGAGAGAAACUUCCUUUUUUUGUUGUCAUUUUUGUCAAAAUUCCAAACCAAUAACCGGGAUAAAAUCAAAAUAAAUGUUGUGAAAACCCAACUUUGGCAUUAAAGGAUUAAAUAAUUUUUUUGUGUGUUGGGGGGGAAGUUUCCCUCCAUCCCUUUUUUUUUUUUUUUUUGGAAUAUAACGAGGAAAAAUCAUCGCCAAAAAAAUCAGAAUAAAAAAUAAAAUUAAACCCGCCGCCCCCACCCCCCCCCGAAAAUUAAAAUAAAGCGAAAUAAAUGGAAUUUUUCCCAAAUAAUUGGAUUAUUAUUUCGAUUUUCAAGCUGUGCUGUCGGCGAGGACGAUGCGGGGCUGAAGGAGAACAAGACGGGGACGCCCAAAAUUCCCAAAAUUCCAAUCAGGAACUGCCCCAAAAUUCCCAAAAUUCCCAAAAGGCCAAUCAGGAACUGCCCCAAAAUUCCCAAAAUUCCCAAAAGGCCAAUCAGGAANNGCCCCAAAAUUCCCAAAAUUCCCAAAAGGCCAAUCAGGAACCGCCCCAAAAUUCCCAAAAUUCAAAGGCCAAUCAAAAACCUCCCAAAAUUUUGUCCCCCCCCCCCCGGGUGCGCCGCCGGAGCUUCGUCUCCCGAAAUUUUCGUGAUUAUUAAUUAAUAUUAAUUAAUAUUAAUUAUGGCGUUGAUUGUCUCAGAGCGGGGGGUGGGGGUUGGGCUUCGUCCUCCGAGAGUUAAAAAUGAAAAUCAAUUUAAAAAAAUGAGGGGAAAAGGUUAAAAAUUUAAAAAACAACCCAAAAAAAAGAGAGGAAAAGGUUAAAAAUUA